CCCCUAGAUGUUCUGGGCUGCACGCGCGCUACACUGAUGCGUUCAACGAGUUUAUGACCUUGCCCGAUAGGGUUGGGUAAUCUUUUUAAAUCGCAUCGUGAUGGGGAUAGAUUAUUGCAAUUAUUAAUCUUCAACGAGGAAUUCCUAGUAAGCGCGAGUCAUCAGCUCGUGCUGAUUACGUCCCUGCCCUUUGUACACACCGCCCGUCGCUCCUACCGAUUGAAUGGUCCGGUGAAGCGUUCGGACCGUGGCCUUUGGACGGUUCGCCGUCUGUUGGCUGCGGGAAGUUCGUUAAACCUUAUCAUUUAGAGGAAGGAGAAGUCGUAACA
RNAcentral lists this ribosomal RNA (329 nucleotides) under uncultured eukaryote. RNAcentral's name for it is "partial 18S ribosomal RNA". It matches the Rfam family "Eukaryotic small subunit ribosomal RNA", at positions 1470 to 1796 of the family's 1831-position model. The record is from RNAcentral.